CUUCGGAGAGUUGGUAUUUCGUCAAGUGCUUAAUAUUGAGGCUUGGAACGAUCUGAAAUUCUUGGAGACAUUUAAGAAGUAUGUGGACGAAAUGGAAUGUGAUGAGAAGAAAAGAGAAAAGAAAAGGGAAGGAACUUCAUUAGUAUCAACUGAGAAAAAGGCAAAGCUAUCUGCAAGUGCAUAAGACAAAAUUGUAAGGUCAAGUAAAAGAGAUCGAUUGAAAGUUUCAAAGCUGCUCUAAAAAGAAAGUUGAAGUUGAAGAAAUCUUAACUGAUGAGGACUCUUCAUGUGAAGAAGAAAUAGAAUUUGAAGAAAUAUUGUUAAAGAUACCAAAAACGGAUUCUACCUCUGAAGUUUUCCAAACUC
This 366-nucleotide long non-coding RNA is filed under the name Brassica napus (rape). Its description in RNAcentral is "long non-coding RNA (BNAP_LNC005074)". The record is from RNAcentral. Lineage: Eukaryota; Viridiplantae; Streptophyta; Magnoliopsida; Brassicales; Brassicaceae.